UACGUAGGGUGCAAGCGUUGUCCGGAAUUAUUGGGCGUAAAGAGCUCGUAGGCGGUUUGUCGCGUCUGCUGUGAAAACGCGAGGCUCAACCUCGCGCCUGCAGUGGGGUACGGGCAGACUAGAGUGCGGUAGGGGAGAUUGGAAUUCCUGGUGUAGACGGUGGAAUGCGCAGAUAUCAGGAGGAACACCGAUGGCGAAGGCAGAUCUCUGGGCCAAUACUGACGCUCAUGCACGAAAGCGUGGGGAGCAAACAGG
This 255-nucleotide ribosomal RNA is filed under the name uncultured bacterium. Its description in RNAcentral is "partial 16S ribosomal RNA". It matches the Rfam family "Bacterial small subunit ribosomal RNA", at positions 524 to 776 of the family's 1533-position model. The record is from RNAcentral.